RNAcentral lists this long non-coding RNA (237 nucleotides) under Elaeis guineensis (African oil palm). RNAcentral describes it as "long non-coding RNA (EGUI_LNC023060)". The record is from RNAcentral. Lineage: Eukaryota; Viridiplantae; Streptophyta; Magnoliopsida; Arecales; Arecaceae.
GGCGAGGGAGAGUGGUUAGAGAAAAGCAAUCUAUCAGGGUGCACAUCAUGGCCGAGAGGAGGUUUGAAAGUGGUCACGAUCAGCGGCAGAGGGGAGGCACUGGAUGAAGUUGAUGGUGGCACUGAGGGCGGUGAUGCGCACAUCAGGGGAGGAGUGGUGGGAGAGGGAGGAGAGGAAGACCCCAUGGAGGGUGAAGAGGUGAGGGAGGAGAGCGUCGCCAAUGUACUGGGUGAGCUG